Molecule: ribosomal RNA, 2771 nt
Filed under: Kaistella pullorum
Lineage: Bacteria; Pseudomonadati; Bacteroidota; Flavobacteriia; Flavobacteriales; Weeksellaceae
Description: Weeksellaceae bacterium Sa1CVA4 23S ribosomal RNA
Rfam family: Bacterial large subunit ribosomal RNA
Source: RNAcentral
AAGAAAUCGUUAAGGGCGUAUGGCGGAUGCCUAGGCUUUCAGAGGCGAAGAAGGACGUGGUAAGCUGCGAAAAGCUCGGGGGAUUGGCACACACGAAUUGAUCCCGAGAUGUCCGAAUGGGGCAACCCAAUACAUUGAAGAUGUAUUACUCUAAAUUUAUUUAGAGAGCAAACCCGGAGAACUGAAACAUCUAAGUACCCGGAGGAAAAGAAAUCGAAGAGAUUCCGUAAGUAGUGGCGAGCGAAAGCGGAUUAGCCCAAAAGCUUUUAUAUGUUUAAUAGAAUGUUCUGGAAAGAACAGCCAUAGAGGGUGAUAGCCCCGUAUAUGAAAGGCAUACAUAAGUGAUAAAUGAGUAGGGCGGGACACGUGAAAUCCUGUCUGAAUAUGGGGGGACCAUCCUCCAAGGCUAAAUACUCCUGAAAGACCGAUAGUGAACAAGUACUGUGAAGGAAAGGUGAAAAGCACUUCGAAUAGAAGGGUGAAAGAGAACCUGAAACCGUACGCCUACAAGCGGUCGGAGCCCACAAGUUGGGUGACGGCGUGCCUUUUGCAUAAUGAGCCUACGAGUUAAUUUUACUAGCGAGCUUAAGCACUUCAGGUGCGGAGGCGGAGCGAAAGCGAGUCUGAAUAGGGCGCAUAGUUAGUAGGAUUAGACGCGAAACCUUGUGAUCUACCCAUGGGCAGGUUGAAGCUUUGGUAACACAAAGUGGAGGACCGAACCGGUUGACGUUGAAAAGUCUUCGGAUGACUUGUGGGUAGGGGUGAAAGGCCAAUCAAACUGGGAGAUAGCUCGUACUCCCCGAAAUGCAUUUAGGUGCAGCGUCGAUGUUAAGUUUAUUAGAGGUAGAGCUACUGAUUGGAUGCGGGGGAGUCAAAUCCUACCAAUUCCUGACAAACUCCGAAUGCUAAUAAAUGUUCGUCGGCAGUGAGGGCAUGGGUGCUAAGGUCCAUGUCCGAGAGGGAAAGAACCCGGACCAACAGCUAAGGUCCCCAAAUCUAUACUAAGUUGAAAUAACGCGGUUGAACUGCAUUGACAGCUAGGAUGUUGGCUUGGAAGCAGCCAUUCAUUUAAAGAGUGCGUAACAGCUCACUAGUCGAGCGGUUCGGCAUGGAUAAUAAUCGGGCAUAAGUAUAGUACCGAAGCUAUGGAUUUAUAACUUUUGAGUUAUAUCUGGUAGGGGAGCAUUCUGUUUGCACAGAAGCCACAUCGUGAGGUGUGGUGGAGCGUACAGAAAAGAAAAUGUAGGCAUAAGUAACGAUAAAGCGGGCGAGAAACCCGCUCACCGAAAGACUAAGGUUUCCUCAGCCAUGCUAAUCAGCUGAGGGUUAGUCGGGACCUAACGCGAACCCGAAAGGGGAAGUGGAUGGACAAUGGGUUAAUAUUCCCAUACUUGCUCACACUAAAAAGGGGACGGAGUGACGUAGCUACUGGAGACUGACGGAAUAGUCAAGACCUAGCCUUCGGGCGAAGUUGUUGUAGUGAACUCGCUUCCAAGAAAAGCCGAAGUGAAGCAACCCGUACCAAAACCGACACAGGUAGUCGAGGAGAGAAUCCUAAGGUGCUAGAGUGAAUCAUGGUUAAGGAACUAGGCAAAAUAGUCUCGUAACUUCGGAAGAAGAGACGCCAGCCGCAAGGCUGGCCGCAGUGAAGAGGCCCAGGCGACUGUUUAUCAAAAACACAGGACUCUGCAAAAUCGAAAGAUGAAGUAUAGGGUCUGACACCUGCCCGGUGCUGGAAGGUUAAGGAAGGUUGUUAGCAGCAAUGCGAAGCAAUUGACUGAAGCCCCAGUAAACGGCGGCCGUAACUAUAACGGUCCUAAGGUAGCGAAAUUCCUUGUCGGGUAAGUUCCGACCUGCACGAAUGGUGUAACGAUCUGGGCACUGUCUCAACCAUGAGCUCUGUGAAAUUGUAGUAUCGGUGAAGAUGCCGAUUACCCGCAAUGGGACGAAAAGACCCUGUGAACCUUUACUAUAACUUCGUAUUGACUUUGAAUAAACAAUGUGUAGGAUAGGUGGGAGACUUUGAAGCGGGCACGCCAGUGUCUGUGGAGUCAACGUUGAAAUACCACCCUUUGUUUAUUUGGAGCCUAAUCCCGGCUUGUUCGGGAGACAUUGCGUGGUGGGUAGUUUGACUGGGGUGGUCGCCUCCAAAAGAGUAACGGAGGCUUUCAAAGGUACCCUCAGCACGCUUGGUAACCGUGCGUAGAGUGUAAUGGCAUAAGGGUGCUUGACUGUGAGACCUACAAGUCGAUCAGGUGCGAAAGCAGGACAUAGUGAUCCGGUGGUUCCGUAUGGAAGGGCCAUCGCUCAUAGGAUAAAAGGUACUCCGGGGAUAACAGGCUAGUCUCCCCCAAGAGCUCACAUCGACGGGGAGGUUCGGCACCUCGAUGUCGGCUCGUCACAUCCUGGGGCUGGAGAAGGUCCCAAGGGUUGGGCUGUUCGCCCAUUAAAGUGGCACGCGAGCUGGGUUCAGAACGUCGUGAGACAGUUCGGUCUCUAUCUAUUGCGGGCGUUAGAUGUUUGAGAGGGCUUGAAUCUAGUACGAGAGGACCGAUUUGAACAAACCUCUGGUGUAUCAGUUGUACCGCCAGGUGCACCGCUGAGUAGCUACGUUUGGUAAGGAUAAGCACUGAAAGCAUAUAAGUGCGAAACCUGCCUCAAGAUGAGACAUCUUUUAAGGGUCGUUGGAGAUGACAACGUUGAUAGGCUAUAGGUGUAAAGACAGUAAUGUCAUAGCCGAGUAGUACUAAUUACCCGUAGAUUUAUAGCCU